AGCAGGGCCGCUCUCUUCCACGAC
This 24-nucleotide non-coding RNA is filed under the name Arabidopsis thaliana (thale cress). Lineage: Eukaryota; Viridiplantae; Streptophyta; Magnoliopsida; Brassicales; Brassicaceae. The record is from RNAcentral.